GGGCAAUUAGCUCAAUUGGCAGAGCGUUCGUCUUAUACACGAAUGGUUCCUGGUUCGAGUCCAGGAUUGCCCACCA
Molecule: transfer RNA, 76 nt
Filed under: Candidatus Moranbacteria bacterium CG_4_9_14_3_um_filter_42_9
Lineage: Bacteria; Candidatus Moraniibacteriota
Description: tRNA-Ile
Rfam family: tRNA
About the family: Transfer RNA (tRNA) molecules are approximately 80 nucleotides in length. Their secondary structure includes four short double-helical elements and three loops (D, anti-codon, and T loops). Further hydrogen bonds mediate the characteristic L-shaped molecular structure. tRNAs have two regions of fundamental functional importance: the anti-codon, which is responsible for specific mRNA codon recognition, and the 3' end, to which the tRNAs corresponding amino acid is attached (by aminoacyl-tRNA synthetases). tRNAs cope with the degeneracy of the genetic code in two manners: having more than one tRNA (with a specific anti-codon) for a particular amino acid; and 'wobble' base-pairing, i.e. permitting non-standard base-pairing at the 3rd anti-codon position.
Source: RNAcentral